Molecule: small nucleolar RNA, 74 nt
Organism: Onychostoma macrolepis
Lineage: Eukaryota; Metazoa; Chordata; Actinopteri; Cypriniformes; Cyprinidae
Product: small nucleolar RNA SNORD61
Exons: 1
Source: RefSeq, a predicted model, not a curated record
GCUAUGAUGACUUAUGGCAGUGAUCUGUUUGAACUGAUAUAGCCUACGAUUGUCCUCUAAGAAGUUCUGAGCUU